GGAUGAGUUGCGAACGGGUGAGUAACGCGUAGGUAACCUGCCUGGUAGCGGGGGAUAACUAUUGGAAACGAUAGCUAAUACCGCAUAAAAUUGAUUAUCGCAUGAUAAUCAAUUGAAAGGUGCAAAUGCAUCACUACCAGAUGGACCUGCGUUGUAUUAGCUAGUUGGUGGGGUAACGGCUCACCAAGGCGACGAUACAUAGCCGACCUGAGAGGGUGAUCGGCCACACUGGGACUGAGACACGGCCCAGACUCCUACGGGAGGCAGCAGUAGGGAAUCUUCGGCAAUGGACGGAAGUCUGACCGAGCAACGCCGCGUGAGUGAAGAAGGUUUUCGGAUCGUAAAGCUCUGUUGUAAGAGAAGAACGAGUGUGAGAGUGGAAAGUUCACACUGUGACGGUAUCUUACCAGAAAGGGACGGCUAACUACGUGCCAGCAGCCGCGGUAAUACGUAGGUCCCGAGCGUUGUCCGGAUUUAUUGGGCGUAAAGCGAGCGCAGGCGGUUAGAUAAGUCUGAAGUUAAAGGCUGUGGCUUAACCAUAGUACGCUUUGGAAACUGUUUAACUUGAGUGCAAGAGGGGAGAGUGGAAUUCCAUGUGUAGCGGUGAAAUGCGUAGAUAUAUGGAGGAACACCGGUGG
Molecule: ribosomal RNA, 638 nt
Filed under: uncultured bacterium
Lineage: Bacteria
Description: bacterial SSU rRNA
Rfam family: Bacterial small subunit ribosomal RNA
Source: RNAcentral